UUGAUAAAAAAAAAAACCCAAACGCCAAAAUCAAAAAGUCGGAGACUUCGAUUGUGUAACGUAGUCCACCACCAUCAAAGCUAUUAAAAGCUUCAACUCAUCCAUACUCUUCAUCUCUCUCCCGAAUCCAAAUCUCCUCUGGUAGCUUCCAUGGAUGAGAAACAGUCAGAUUUCCAGAUCCAAAGCUUUGAAUAAAUCUAGCACCAAAGCUCCAGCAAUAUCAACAAGCGCAUCCAUGUCUAAGAAUCCAGCAAAAUCACCACUAAAGCUCCAACUGUUUCGACCACCAGUUCCAUGGAUGAGAAAAAAGGGGUUGAUUGGCUCCAUCUACAGCUUCGAAUCCUGCAAAAAGAAAGAUCCUCAUAGGGCUUGAUCUGUUAUUUAGGGCAAAGAGGUCCCUAAAGAAAAGCCGUGUGGAUUGUGUCGAUUUCUUCAUCAGAAGUUUCUAUGGAUCCGUAAAAACCCAUUUGAUACAGCCUGGUGAUGUCUGUUUUAGAGAGAGUUUGCUUCCAGUCCUUCUUGCUACGAACAACUAGAAGAUUGUUGCUAUAUAAAUUUUUAAAAGUUAUUAACAUACAUAAAAUAAAGCCACUUUGUUUCACCAGAAAGACGGCCAACAGUUAAUCAACGAGGUUAGUGAUGGACUUUUGAUAAUGUUUGGCGAGCUAUACUUUGUCUUUAAGAAUGGAAAUUUUACCAGCUUAUGAAGGGUUGGCAAAAAUAAUUUCUGUUGAAGAUGAUAUCAGAACAUGGUGCUUUCAAGCCUUUCAAAGCAAUUCUUACAUGUGUUAGAUACACAUCAACCGCGAUCUUAAGCCAGGUGAUUGAUAGCCUUGAGGUCACCCUAACAAUCAUCAGCAUGGUCACUUGAUACAAAACUUCAGACAUCCAUUAUCAAGAUUGACAGUUUUGAUUUUAACCACUAGGUCUCUCUAACAAUCGUGAGGAGGUUAAUUCAAGUCCAUGUUUAAAUAGUAUGUUGUUAUAUGCUGGUAGAGGGCAGCUGAAGUACUUCUACAGUCCUAUCUGUACACAUUAAAAGUUGGUUAGUAUCAGAACUGUGGUACUCCAUCAGGUACAUCUUUAUUACGAUGAGGAGAAGAUCGGGAGUGGUGGUGGUGAUGACAUGGCAAUGGAGGUUGGAAAAGGUGAGGUUGAGGUGGCGAAGGAGGUGCCGGGAUGUGUGGCUAGGGCGGAGGUUGAUCCUCGCUUGAUCAGUCCUCCUUGAGUUGCUAGGACAAGGGAGAAAGUGUUGGGGCGAAUUUGAGAAGGGAGUGAAACUUUGGGGGUUUGAUUUUUAAUUUGAGUUUGUGACAUUUUAACAUUGUACCCCAAAAUAAACAGAAAAAUAUCUCUAAGAGAUCGCAGAAGAAGAAAACAAAAUCAUGAUCGACCUCGGAGAAGAAGAAGAGAAUAAUCAAUGGCGGCUGCUUCCAAUGGGAGUGAGUAUUUGGACAUCGACGUCGAGACGGGAAGAAAAUCGUUCGCGCGGCCGUUGAAUGCUGAGACAGUGGAGCAGGAUGAAGAAGAUCUGAGAUGGGCUGCGAUGGGACGGUUACCGUCGCAGAGACAAGGGAGCCAUUUAGCGACUCUGCGUCGGUCGCAAACUUCUGGUUAAGCAGACGGGAACGUCGUGCAGACGAUUGACGUAAGGAAGCUUGAUCGUUCGGAUCGUGAGAUGGUUGUUCGUCAAGCUCUUGCCACUAGCGAUCAGGAUAAUUACAAGCUUCUCUCCGCUAUCAAGAAACGACUCGAUAGCGUGUUUUGAGCAGUUUGAGAAUGAUGAAGACUAGAAAACACAAGCUAACCAUAUGAGUCAUAUAGCUGACUCACACAAGAAUGGAAGUUGGAACCAUGAAAAAUGAUGGGUUUGAGGACUGUUUUGCUUUCACUCUAAUAUUUUUGCCUUUCAUCAAACAUACUUUUAUAUGUUCUAGGUGUUCUACCUUAUCCUGUACAAAGUUGUUUUGACUUUAUUUGUUCCAGGUUCACUCAUUAAAAUGGAUUUAGUCUUCCUUCACAUCUUGGUUGUUAUACUGCUGGAUCUGCUCCAAGUGCUCCCGUCGCUGAGAAUCAACCCUCUCCUCGAAGACAUUAUGGCUGAUGAAAUGCCAGCAGUCCCAAGAUGACUUUUUUAUCUCCCGGUGGCUUUAUAUAAAUGAUUGCAAACAAGUUAAAAAUUUAAUUUAUAAGCUGUAAUAGUUAAUUGGAAAUAGGUUUGUUACUUCAUUGUCACUGGAUAAAUUUGAUAGGCAAAAAGAAGUGUCCACCCCCACAGCCCCACUAACUAAAAUGUAAAUUCGUAUAAAUGAAAAAACAACCAUGGAAAAUAUGUAUUCAUGGUAAAGUUAAUUAUUUUCUA
This is a long non-coding RNA of Brassica napus (rape), 2362 nucleotides long. RefSeq lists it as uncharacterized. The record is from RefSeq and is a predicted model, not a curated record. Lineage: Eukaryota; Viridiplantae; Streptophyta; Magnoliopsida; Brassicales; Brassicaceae. The transcript has 9 exons.